UACGGAGGGGGCGAGCGUUGUCCGAAGUUACUGGGCGUAAAGCGCGCGUAGGCGGGUUGGCAAGUCCGCUGUGAAAGCCCGGUGCUUAACGCCGGAGGGUCGGUGGAUACUGCCAGUCUUGAAGGUGCUAGGGGAAGAUGGAAUUACCGGUGUAGCGGUGAAAUGCGUAGAUAUCGGUAGGAACACCAGUGGCGAAGGCGGUCUUCUGGAGCACUCUUGACGCUGAGGCGCGAAAGCUGGGGGGAGCGAACGGG
Molecule: ribosomal RNA, 254 nt
Filed under: uncultured bacterium
Lineage: Bacteria
Description: partial 16S ribosomal RNA
Rfam family: Bacterial small subunit ribosomal RNA
Source: RNAcentral